Molecule: long non-coding RNA, 245 nt
Filed under: Nicotiana benthamiana
Lineage: Eukaryota; Viridiplantae; Streptophyta; Magnoliopsida; Solanales; Solanaceae
Description: long non-coding RNA (NBEN_LNC001179)
Source: RNAcentral
AUUCCUGAUUCUCUCAUACCUACUGCUUCCUCCUUACCUUCUGGAGAAAAUGAUGUUAUUCCCGAUUCUCCUUCUUCUAUCCCUCCACCUUCUCCUCCCAUUCUGCCCUCUUCCUCUUCUACUCAUGUCCUUAGAAAAUCUACCAGAACUCAUAAUCCUCCAUCAUAUCUUAAGGACUAUCCAUGCCAACUUCCAGCCUUCUCUGGCUCUUCCUCUUCCUCCUUGGAAUCUGAACCACUGUAUUA